RNAcentral lists this long non-coding RNA (877 nucleotides) under Linum usitatissimum (flax). Its description in RNAcentral is "long non-coding RNA (LUSI_LNC006553)". The record is from RNAcentral. Lineage: Eukaryota; Viridiplantae; Streptophyta; Magnoliopsida; Malpighiales; Linaceae.
AGCCAUUAGAAAACUAGGGAUUAAAAGAGGAGGAUCCCACUGCAGGAAAGCAAAGACAGAUGAUGAAAGUUUAGUGCCGAGGCAUACCUUGGUAGAAAGGGCGAAACAACAGUUUGAAGCAGCUGCGAGAGCAGCAGCUCCCAAGGUGGUGUUGAUGUUGUUCUCUCAGCAUAAGAGUACAACCACUGUAUAUAUCGAUCUGUGUUGUAUUCAAUCGGCAGCCAUUGUGUUUUCGGUUAGGUUGUUCAUGCACAUCAUCCGUGGCUGGCUUUUAGAUGGUUUAACGGCAAUGUGAUAUUCACAGUGGUUUCUUUUUGUUCAGCUGAAGACGACCUACGAGAGUUAGAAACGUAAUAUAUUCCAACCAGCAUACAAACAUCUGGUAAAAGGUCUGCUGGUUCUGUCAUCAUAAUAGUACACUGCAAGUAGCAGCAGCUCCGAAGGUGGUGUUGUUCUCUCAUCAUAAGAGUACAGCCGCCACAUAUAUCGUGUUGUAUUCAAUCGGAAGCCAUUGUUCAUUUGGUUACGAUGGUGAUAUGCUCAUCAGUUUUGUAACAAGUGGUUUUCUAUGACAUAAACUAAAGUUGUGCAUAUUUACACUGAUUAAUAAUACGGGAAGAAGAUUGUACAAAAGUAAUACAUGAGAGCACUGGAUCAAUGCAUAUCAAUUUUCAAACAGCUGUAUCGUCAAAGGAAAUAGGGAUACCACGAAAGCUUUUACUCCUCAGGAUCCAUUCCAGUUGAAGGGCUAUCAGCAAAGUUCUCCAGAUGUUACAUAUUCACACCAUACUGACAAUAAAAAAGUAAGAUCAUAAACAACAGUGAGCUUAUAGAAAACCACCACUGCAUAUUGGCUUGCUCCUAUUUGCUGGGUGAA